CCUACGGGUGGCUGCAGUGAGGAAUAUUGGUCAAUGGUCGGAAGCCUGAACCAGCCAAGUAGCGUGCGGGAUGAAGGCCCUACGGGUCGUAAACCGCUUUUGCACGGGGAUAACACCCUCCACUUGUGGUGUUCUGCAGGUACCGUACGAAUAAGGACCGGCUAAUUCCGUGCCAGCAGCCGCGGUAAUACGGAAGGCCCGAGCGUUAUCCGGAUUCAUUGGGCUUAAAGGGAGCGUAGGCGGCAGUUAAAGUGAGCGGGAAAAUCCCGCGGCUCAACCGUGCCCCGCGGGUGAAACUGGGCGGCUUGAGUGCACAGAAGGCAGGCGGAAUUCGUGGUGUAGCGGUGAAAUGCAUAGAUAUCACGAGGAACCCCGAUUGCGAAGGCAGCCUGCCGGGGUGCGACUGACGCUGAGGCUCGAAGGUGCGGGUAUCAAACAGGAUUAGAUACCCGUGUAGUC
Molecule: ribosomal RNA, 459 nt
Filed under: uncultured bacterium
Lineage: Bacteria
Description: partial 16S ribosomal RNA
Rfam family: Bacterial small subunit ribosomal RNA
Source: RNAcentral